UGAUGAUGGUGAGGGCAUUUUCUGAGCAUACUUUUAAAUCUCUCCCAAGCUUGGUAGAUAUUUUCUCUUUCUUUCUGCCUAAAAUUUAAAAUCUUACUUCUUAAACA
Molecule: non-coding RNA, 107 nt
Organism: Capsicum annuum
Lineage: Eukaryota; Viridiplantae; Streptophyta; Magnoliopsida; Solanales; Solanaceae
Source: Rfam